GACGCCUUCCGGCGCCGGAGGAGGACGGGGGCAGACGUUCUCCCGCAGAGGAGUGGGCGGAGCCACCUGCUCGGAUCGAACCAGGUGUGUAAACAGUAUCGGCUGAAGGACGUACAUCCUGGUACUUCCUGCUUCCUCUGCGGCCGUCACACAGCUGACUGACGUCUCGUUUGGAUUAGUGCUGCUGAAAAUGAUCCACCAUCAUUAACAGGAAUUUAUUCACCAUUAACAGCACGGCAGGAAAAGAUCUAGCAACUUCAAACCAGUAAACAAAACCAGUUAAAACAUGCCGUUAAGCUGACAGCAAACUGAUUAAAUACCUUAGAGCGGCGGAGAGUCAUUAUCGCCUUUCAUGUCUGGUGUUAUGUAAAGCACCAGCAACAGGCGGUUAUAUAAGCCCACCAGUUUGCCCCGUUUGCCCUGAGGGACAUAAACACACCCGGCAGAUGGCUGGAGGCCCGAAUCCACCAGAUCACGGCCUGUUCGCUCCGUUUCCACCCAGAGAAACGCUCCCACAGCCGGAGGAGAGGCAUGGAGAGGCUCAGGAGGAGCUCUGCCCCCCGGGGCAUCUGGGCGAACAAUGAGAACACGGCUCAGGGCGGCUCUGCAUUACCACCAGACCAGCAGACUGCACCAGACAAACUCCAAGGAUGCCUGUCUGUUUCUGUCCAGCAACACACAACGACCCGCGCCAUCUUGGUAGGCAGCCGCAGCUAAAUGCGCAGCGGAGCUCUGGCUUCCAGACCAACAAAAAGAAAAUAUCUGGACACUUGAAUGCGCAAGACGUGACCAAAAUGGCUGGCGUCAGGAUCGACCCAUAUCAGACGGAGAAGGAAAAUAGCUCAGGCGAUGUGAACAAGCUGCCUCCGAUCUCAUGCUACGAUAACGUUAGCUAGCUAGUGAACAGGAAGAGUGCGAACAACAUGGAGGAGCUUCAACUGAAAUCCAAACAAUUAAUGUUUCAACAGAUUUCUAAAGGGCUCUUUGAGUAAAUAACAAGUUUCUGGUGACUGGCAUGUCAAGUACAUUUAGUAACAAACACAUAGGCUACAUGUCCGCUAGCAGAUAAAAGCUACAUUAGCCAAGCUAAUUUAGCUGCUCUGGCAGAAAGUACUCAAGUAAAUAUCACUGAUGUUUAUCUUAGUGUUACAGAGGUGGUGGAGUACUCUAAAACUGUAACCGAGUAAUAGUUGUAAUGUACUUUAUUGUUCAUACUUUAAAUAGGAACAAGGUGAGAGCUAGUUCUACUGUUGUCAUAGCAACUCCAUAGCAACUGCCUGCCAAGAUGGCUGCCAGUUACAAAGUUCUGGAGGUUCUGGAGUUCAUGUGAGGUCACAUGAGAAAUGUGUUGGCUCAUCAUUACCUUUGAGGGUCAAAAAACAAAAAAGUCUUUAUGAGAGUUUUAAAAUUUAAUUUUUUAUAAAGUUCAGGAGAGGUUAAAAACUCUCCUGAAUUAAAAAAAUAAAUUACAUUUUCCUGUUAGUUUUAGAGCCAGCUAAUAUUUCAGAAUUGUCUUUUUUAAAACUGUUGCAUAAUUUACAAAAGUGUGAUUCGUGUAGAAAAAAGAAAUCCUGAAAACUUGAGUCAUCUGUGUCCUUAGAUGGUAUUUCAACACAUUUCAAAUAGGCUUUUUGUGGAUACUGAAGGCGAUAAAAGACUUUUUAAAGCAUCGUUAUUGCUUAUAACAGCAAGAAAGUUGCUGCGUUAGUCUGAGUCUUUUUUUGAAAUGAGAGUUUUUGAGUCAUUUCCUGGUUAGCUACUGAACGAUCAAUCAAUUCGCUGCAUUAGCAUUGAUGAAGCCUCCAUCGCUGAUUGUGCGGCAACAUUUACGGUACAAAGAAAAAAAGGAACAGUAAAGACCGAGAACCACGGGCCCUGCAGCCGAGACGUCCGUCAGCUCCACCGACCCGUCCACCUGUCCGCUGCCCAGCUUCAGCUCGUUAAUGA
Molecule: long non-coding RNA, 1947 nt
Organism: Poecilia reticulata (guppy)
Lineage: Eukaryota; Metazoa; Chordata; Actinopteri; Cyprinodontiformes; Poeciliidae
Source: RefSeq, a predicted model, not a curated record